RNAcentral lists this ribosomal RNA (488 nucleotides) under uncultured bacterium. RNAcentral describes it as "bacterial SSU rRNA". It matches the Rfam family "Bacterial small subunit ribosomal RNA", at positions 8 to 518 of the family's 1533-position model. The record is from RNAcentral.
AGAGUUUGAUUAUGGCUCAGGAUGAACGCUGGCGGCGUGCCUAACACAUGCAAGUCGAGCGGAGUAAGUUUCGGAUUAACUUAGCGGCGGAUGGGUGAGUAACACGUGGGUAACCUGCCCUGCACUGGGGGAUAACAGUUGGAAACGACUGUUAAUACCGCAUAUGCACACGGCGCCGCAUGGUGCCGGGUGGAAAGAUUUAUCGGUGCAGGAUGGGCCCGCGUCGGAUUAACUGGUUGGCAGGGUAACGGCCUACCAAGGUGAUGAUCCGUAGCCGGCCUGAGAGGGCGACCGGCCACAUUGGGACUGAGACACGGCCCAAACUCCUACGGGAGGCAGCAGUGGGGAAUAUUGCACAAUGGGCGCAAGCCUGAUGCAGCGACGCCGCGUGAAGGAUGACGUAUUUCGGUAUGUAAACUUCUAUCAGCGGGGAAGAAGAUGACGGUACCCGACUAAGAAGCCCCGGCUAACUACGUGCCAGCCGCCGC